UUGACUGCUUUGGAGAAAAAAAAAUCCUCACGUUAACCACAGAAGAGGCCGUGGAGAGCAUCAAUGAAAGCUUCUCCACAGUGAAUCUACCAAUAUGCCUCAGCUCUGUUCAGGAGGAACCACCUUUAGUAUGACAGUGGUUCAGUUUCCAUUCCCAUUUAAUCUGGGUCCUCU
Molecule: small RNA, 174 nt
Filed under: Chelonoidis abingdonii (Abingdon island giant tortoise)
Lineage: Eukaryota; Metazoa; Chordata; Testudines; Testudinidae
Description: TUC338 (ENSCABG00000003810.1)
Source: RNAcentral